Long non-coding RNA from Bufo bufo (common toad), 173 nucleotides. RefSeq lists it as uncharacterized. The record is from RefSeq and is a predicted model, not a curated record. The transcript has 3 exons. Lineage: Eukaryota; Metazoa; Chordata; Amphibia; Anura; Bufonidae.
GGGCCGUCGAAAAUAGCCAAGCUCUGGCUCGGCUAUUUCCGUCGGGCCCAUAGAAAUGAAUGGGAGCAGUGGCCGGUCCUGCGCAGGGCGUUUCCAUUCACUUCUAUGGGGAGAACGCUUGGUGGUGACCAGACCGGAGUCCUCCGGACACCACUUUGCGGGGCUCCUUUCCU